GUUUGAUCCUGGCUCAGGACGAACGCUGGCGGCGUGCCUAAUACAUGCAAGUCGAGCGAACCACUUCGGUGGUUAGCGGCGGACGGGUGAGUAACACGUGGGCAACCUGCCUGUAAGACUGGGAUAACUUCGGGAAACCGGAGCUAAUACCGGAUAAUCCUUUUCCUCUCAUGAGGRAAAGCUGAAAGACGGUUUCGGCUGUCACUUACAGAUGGGCCCGCGGCGCAUUAGCUAGUUGGUGAGGUAACGGCUCACCAAGGCGACGAUGCGUAGCCGACCUGAGAGGGUGAUCGGCCACACUGGGACUGAGACACGGCCCAGACUCCUACGGGAGGCAGCAGUAGGGAAUCUUCCACAAUGGACGAAAGUCUGAUGGAGCAACGCCGCGUGAGCGAUGAAGGCCUUCGGGUCGUAAAGCUCUGUUGUUAGGGAAGAACAAGUACCGGAGUAACUGCCGGUACCUGAC
Molecule: ribosomal RNA, 466 nt
Filed under: Bacillus sp. R-31856
Lineage: Bacteria; Bacillati; Bacillota; Bacilli; Caryophanales; Bacillaceae
Description: bacterial SSU rRNA
Rfam family: Bacterial small subunit ribosomal RNA
Source: RNAcentral